GAAACUCAAAGGAAGUUGACGGGGCCCGCACAAGCGGUGGAGUAUGUGGUUUAAUUCGAUGCAACGCGAAGAACCUUACCUGGUCUUGACAUCCCGGAGACCCUUAGGAAACUAGGGGGUGCUUCCAUCUGGAAGAAUCUGGAGACAGGUGCUGCAUGGCUGUCGUCAGCUCGUGUCGUGAGAUGUUGGGUUAAGUCCCGCAACGAGCGCAACCCUUGCCUUUAGUUGCCAGCAGUUCGGCUGGGCACUCUAAAGGGACUGCCGGUGUUAAACCGGAGGAAGGUGGGGAUGACGUCAAGUCCUCAUGGCCUUUAUGACCAGGGCUACACACGUACUACAAUGGCCGAUACAAAGGGCAGCGACACUGCGAGGUGAAGCCAAUCCCGUAAAAUCGGUCUCAGUCCGGAUUGGAGUCUGCAACUCGACUCCAUGAAGUUGGAAUCGCUAGUAAUCGUGGAUCAGCAUGCCACGGUGAAUACGUUCCCGGGCCUU
Molecule: ribosomal RNA, 492 nt
Filed under: uncultured Desulfobulbus sp.
Lineage: Bacteria; Pseudomonadati; Thermodesulfobacteriota; Desulfobulbia; Desulfobulbales; Desulfobulbaceae
Description: bacterial SSU rRNA
Rfam family: Bacterial small subunit ribosomal RNA
Source: RNAcentral